GGUUACAGAUCUCUUGUCCCAAGCUGCUUUCAGGAUUUUCUCUUUGUCUCGGAGACUCGUCGACCCACAUCAAGACCCACUCGUGGGACAGUGCCAAGGUGCCGCUGAUGGAGAACAAGUGUGACAAAGAGUGGGUGGUGUCCGUAGCCAUGCAACAGGCAGCCGGCUGACCACCUCACUAUGGGACUCCUGACCUCCUUCAAGAUGCUGCUACUUCCACCAUGCUGUUCUCCAGAUGUGUCUUCACCCCAUCAAUGUUUGGCAGAAAAAAGAAAAAGGAAAACAGGAAAAAAUGAAGACCACAUUUUGAGUGAGCACACCCUGUUAGAGAAAAAUAAAUAAAUGAGAUUCCCUUGAAGAACAUUUGGUUCUCCGCUGAGGAGUUUCUCUUUAAUGGAAACUUCAUUUUUAGUUUUAACAUCAAAACUUUACAUCAGCUGACAAAACACAGAAAGAAAAGGAAAGAAAUCUUUGUUACAUUUGUUUUGGCCUUUCUCUACUUGUUAAACAAUGGUUACCCUCAGUAUAUCAUGGGAAUGAGGAACAGUAUUCUCUCAUUUAUAAUAUUGCCUCUGGGAGGCAGCAUGGUGUAUGGGAAAAAAUAGAACUUUGAAAUGAGAAGUGAAUUCAAACGGAGUUUUCCCUCAAUUAUAUAUUUUUUAUAUAACAUAAUUAUAUAGUUCCCUCAAUUAUAUAUUUCGGUCAUAGUCUAUCAUUUUUCUGGGCUUUAGGCCUCUCAUUUGUUAAAUGGGCAUAC
This is a long non-coding RNA of Zalophus californianus (California sea lion), 757 nucleotides long. RefSeq lists it as uncharacterized. Lineage: Eukaryota; Metazoa; Chordata; Mammalia; Carnivora; Otariidae. The record is from RefSeq and is a predicted model, not a curated record. The transcript has 4 exons.